AGUUGCUUUUUUAUGAGGAUGGUGAACCCAAAGUUGAUGGUGAAGCUGGAGAUCUUAAGUUCAGGAUCCAAACAGCACCACAUGAGCGCUUCAGAAGAGAAGGCAACGAUCUGCAUACAACUGUGACAAUUUCACUGGUCCAAGCUCUUGUUGGUUUUGAAAAGACCAUCAAGCAUCUUGAUGAACAUUUAGUGGAAAUUGGCACAAAGGGAAUCACUAAACCUAAAGAGGUGAGGAAGUUCAAAGGGGAAGGCAUGCCUUUGCACCUAAGUACAAAGAAAGGAGAUUUGUAUGUGACGUAUGAAGUUUUGUUCCCCAAGUCACUAACCGAAGAUCAGAAGACUAAGAUCAAGGCAAUUCUUUCUUAAAGCUGGCGUUCUCUCCAUUGGUAUUACUUGGUUCUCCUUUGUACUUUGACUAGGUUUAAUUGGAAGGUGUACAGCCCCUGGAAUUUUCCCAAGUGGCUCCUAUUUGAAUGAUGUCAUUGACUGUAAUCCUUGUUGGCUGCCUGUUUCCAUAGGAUGCUGUCACCUCUUCUCUUUUUUCCCCCUUUCUUUUUUUUAAAAUUUUUUUGGGCAAUAGAUGUACUUUAGAAAAGGAAACUGAUUAAUUGGAAUUUGAUCCUGAUCUUUCUCUCCCUUAUCUCAACUAGGGCGAAAGAAAAACAUAUAUUAUAGAAUCAUGCUUGGUUAUGUAAUUCCAUUUCCACGAGACAAUUUAUGUGGACACUGCUCUCAAAAUGUAUCCAAAAUGAUGAAUUAAGAUUUUCCUUGUUAUAUUUUGUUCACAGGCGUGCUUGUCAAUAAAGCGGCAGCUAGAGGAAGUCGGAGUCGGCGACGGGCGGGCUUCUCCUCCGGGCUGCACUGUGAUGUAGUCGGCCGAUUCUCCACCAAAAAAGGUAUGUGUAGUUUGUGUAUGUUAGAUGUUUGAUGAAAUGCCACAAAGAACAGAGAUAUACUCCUGAAAAGAAUGGACGUGCCAGAUCCCGACGAUCCUGACGAUGCCUGCCGCCGCCGAAGAAGAAGUGGCCGGUGCCCGGUGGUGGGCUACGAGAGAAGAGAUGAGAAAAGGAGAGGAAAAAGGGAAGGAAAAACCAGGGACUGCUUCAAGAUCUCUAUUGCUCUGAUACCAUGAUGAAAUAGAGAAAGAAGGGAGUAAGACAAGGAAGGAUAAUGUUUUCUUGUUUUUUAGGAAACAGCCAUAGCCCACCUUUUAUAAGGGGAAGGUGGCUAUCCUAUACAGUUACAACAGCUAAAGUGUCAGGUAUUACAAUGGCUAUAUUAUUAGGUCAUGUACAAUCAUGUCACUAGCUAAGCUAAUGUACAGCUAAGCUAAAGCUAAGCUAACAGUUAUUUUGAUCACCCAGUUUACUGGGGUCAAUAUGAUAUCCUUAUCUCCACUCAGUCACAUAAUAAAAAUCAACAGUACAUCUUAAAUUUAUUUUAUCCGCAUCUUAGAGUAAUUCUUAAGUUCUUCCUUCUCAUGCCCAUCCAGAACACUUUCAUUGGCUUGUCAUGCUGAACUGUUAAUUGGAAGUGAUAGUAUACCUUUUUAGUUGGUGUAGGGAAGUGGCUUCUGUCUUGCAGGGUGAGAAUAGGUAAAGAAACAUGGGAAGGACCUAACUAAAAUGAUAAUGUCCCAUCCAUCCUGGAAGCCUUAGAUAUGUGCAAAUGUUGAUCUAUUGAAAUAGUUUAAAUCUAAAUAUACAAAGUAGUUUAGUUGAAUGAAUGAAUGAAAGUGUGACUUUAUAGUAAGUUCGGUGCCUAGUUGUUUGUGGUUCGCCACACCAGAUUGUGCCGCCCAGUACCAGGCAUACUAUACUAUAUUGGUAGCGAACUGAUACUCGGUAUAAUCGGUAUGGAAGGCAUACAGAGUGUUGGUACAAUGAGAUGACCCGAUAUUGUACUAAAAUAGUAACAUGUACCUAAAAGAGUACUGCGAGCCAUUAUCUAGUCAUUAUAGUAAUUGUGUGGGUGAUAGCAAGGUCCUUGGCUCAAGGGUCACCUAGACAAUUUGACCAAUACGGUUGCAACUCUAUAUAUCUCAUAGUUGAGAGCAUUUAAGAUGGUUUUAUCAUUGAUUAUCAAUUCUUUCUGCUGAUUUUAUAUGCUUUUGUUUUCACACUCCUUCGUAUUGGGUUGUUUUUCACAAUCUUGUUUCCUCUUUACUGCUGCUUUGAUAUUUGCAACUGCUUCUAUGAUGAUUUUUGCCUGGCUGUUAAUGCGUUUUCAAUGAGCCAUCUUGCAUAUGCAUAAUGCAUAAUACAUUAUACUAUUACCCCCUUUUGCAUUACAUUUGCCUUUUUUUUUUUUUUGCGAGUGUUGCUUUCAUACAUUAUCUCAUACAGUAAGUAUUGCUAGUUUUAUCAUGUUGUAUCUAAAGUACAUGCAUUUUAUUGGCUUACCUAAUUAUAAAUCAAGUAUUGCUGGCAUUGCUUACAUAUAAGGUUUCUUUCAGUUUCUUUGGAGGUGGUAUGGCUGAAGAAGAGGAAGAGGUGAUAGCAAAAGGUGAUGAUGUAGUUGUUGAAUUGGAUGCCACACUAGAAGAUUUAUACAUGGGAGGUUCAUUAAAGGUAAUUUUACUCUCUUCAUAAUUUUCUUAAGGCCAUUCAUUAUCUAAAACUUCUUCUGCAAACCACCGUAGACAUCAUUGCUAUUAUCGUUUCUUUUUAGAUCAAUGCCUUAUAUGUGAAUUGUGCCACUGUAAUUUUUAUGGUCCUAUAUUCUUGUUCAGGAUGAGGACUUUUUUGGGUUUUUGAUGUUCCCCUUUUGCUUUUCUAGUUUAUAACUGCAUUAUUUCUUGAAACAUAAUUUUAAAUUGAUUUUGCAUACUAUGAACUGGAGCAUGUCUUUGAGAUAACCUGUUUCUUAUGAAUUCCAAAUCACCUUACUUUGUCUUCUUUGGUGAGAUAUCUUAUAGGUUUGGAGGGAGAAAAAUGUUGUAAAGCCAGCCCCUGGUAAGAGGCGUUGUAACUGCAGGAAUGAAGUUUAUCAUAGGCAAAUUGGGCCGGGAAUGUUUCAGCAGAUGACAGAACAGGUUCAUUCUCUUUCAAAAGAUUCCUUGCUAGGUAGCUCUGCCAUGUGUGGAUGAGACUUUCUCAAACAAAGAGCAGUUUAGGCCCCGCUAUUUUUGUUGUCAUUCGAAUGUGCACUGAUAGGGAUAAAUAAUUAUAUAUGAACUUUUAUUCUUAAAUAAAUUUCACCUUCAGAACAUGUUUAAGUUGAAAAAGUUUUAUUUAGAUUUCAUAUGUUUCUUUUUCAGGUCUGCGAGCAAUGUUCAAACGUGAAAUUUGAGCGAGAAGGUUAUUUUAUCACUGUUGAUAUUGAGAAGGGGAUGCAAGAUGGACAAGUAAGCUUCUAAGCCUCAAAACUGACUCAAACAUUAUUUAUAGGUUAUCAUUAUUCCGAAUAAAGUCUUCUUGAGCCAGUGUUUUCUAUGUAUUACACUACUGCUUGUUCCUGCCCGAUACAUAUGGGGUUUUCUAUUUUUUUUUUACUUACCAUCCAGUGGCAGUAUCUUCAUGGAUGUUCUUAGGCUGCUUAGUUUUUCAAACUUAUGAUUUGCCACUAGUUUUACUAUGUUAUUUAUACUACUGGACAUUGCAUCACAUUCUUAUCAAAAAUUAUUCAUAUUUUGGAUAUUUUCUCAGUUCCUUUAUUUGAUCAAACCUUCACACUAAUAGACCUACAUCUAUAUUUGAAUAUGCUUAUUAAAAUGCAUGCUACUGCUGGGCAAAACAAAGUCAUUUUGAUUAACCCUGAUUUGUAUCAAUUAGCAUGUCUAUUUAUCCAUUUUACUGGUAGUUACACUAUUUCUUAGGCUUUCAUCUAUGUUUCAUCUUUAUGUUUAUUUUUGUAUAUUCUAUUUCCUUCAUAUUAAUUAUCUCAUCUGCAUGCUGAACUUCAUUUGGCAAAUCCUAUACCAUCUUCAUUGUGUUGGCAGAGAGUUCAAUCCAGGCUCUAUGAUAUGCGUAGCAUAUUCUUCUCUUAUUUCUUAUGAGUGACCAACUAAAAAUUUAUCUUCGUUUAGCAAAGUUUGCGGUACCAAUUGGUACGUACCAUAUCAGUGCUGAACCAGUACACGGUAUUAGGGAUGUACUAAUUGUCGAUGCACCGAAGUGGGUACCGUAUCGGAUGUGUACCGAUAAAGUAGUAGGAUGGUAUUGGUAUAGGUCCGCUACCAAGAUGGUGAACCUAUUUAGGCCCUAUUUGGAGAGCUGUUGGCAGUAGAGCUUUUGGAAGUAGAGCUUUCUGAAGUAGAGCUUUUAUAAAAAGUUGUUUGCUGUUUGAUAACUACAUUUCUAAAGUGUUGUGGCACUUUAACAUGUAUUUGGUAAACAAACUGAGAAAGUAUUUUUGGUAUGACAAAAUGACCAUAAAGGACAUUGCAUAGUAUUAUACAAUAGAACAUAAUAAAAUAUAAUAUAUAUUAAUACAUAAAUAUAUGAUACAGUAUAAUAUUAUUAUAAUGUAAUAUAAUAUUAUUAUAAUAUAGUAAUAUAAUAUUGUAUACUAUAGCAUAAUAAUUUAAUAUAAUAUUAAAUUAAUUAACAUAACAUAUCAAUGUAUUAUGAUAUAAUGUAAUAUAAUAUUAUAUUUAUAGUAUAAUACAAUAACAAAGGUAUAAAAUAUCAUAAUUAUUAGCGUAAAUUAAUUUUUCAUAAUAUAACAUAAUAUUAAAUUAUUUAACAUAACAUAUUAAUGUAUUAUGAUAUAAUGUAAUAUAAUAUGAUAUUUAUAGUAUAAUACAAUAAUAAAGGUAUAAAAUAUUAAAAUUAUUAGUGUAAAUUAAUUUUCUAUCCUCCUGCAGAUUUUCAUAAUUAUGAAGGGACAUUUUGUGUAAUUGUUAUAUUUUAUCAUGGGUAUUUUGGUCUAAAAAACAGCUUUCCGACGGGGCCUAAAAGUGCUUUUCCAGAAAGCUUCAAAAUAGAGUUUCUUCCAAAAAGUUAUUCUUAGCUUUCUGAAAAAGCUAAAAUAGCUUUUCAAAAUUUUUACCAAACAUCCUUAUUUCAUCUAAAAGUGCUUUUGAAGGACCAGAAAGUGCUUUUUGACCCUCCNNNNNNNNNNCUCCCCCAAACGGGCCUUAGUAUGUAUGUUGAAGCUGCUCUUCUAUCUGAGUUCUAAACUAAUUCAGGCUUGUUGCAUCAUAAAUAUAUGUAUUUUCCUUAUUCAAUUUUAUUGUGACUCAUAAGUGUCAAUCUAUAAACCUUGCAUAGGAGUUGCUUUUUUAUGAGGAUGGUGAACCCAAAGUUGAUGGUGAAGCUGGAGAUCUUAAGGUCUCUCUCUCUCUCUCUCUCUCACCCUCUCUCCACUCCCUUUAAAAAAUGAAACUUACCACUUUAAAACUACAUUAUCAUUUAACCCAAUCAUUUUCAUGAGCAGUUCAGGAUCCAAACAGCACCACAUGAGCGCUUCAGAAGAGAAGGCAAUGAUCUGCAUACAACUGUGACAAUUUCACUGGUGACAACUUUUCUUCAUUUUUUUUCCCUUUUGUCUGACUAUGAUUUAUUUCUACUGAAGUUGACCACCAUUACUGCUGUGAUUCAUAGAUCUACAUGUUUUUGUAAAUUUCACUUGGUAUUUUGUUCCGAUCUAGAGCUGUGUGCUGCUAUUAUGAUUUUAAUGUAACCGUGACUGGGUUGUCUGGAUUGUGUUUUCAUGUCAAGUAAGAGUAUGGAUUUUGCAGCGAUCCUGGAUCUCAUCUGUUUAUUUCCUGAUUUAAAGAACUUCUUUGUGUGAUUUCUCUUAUGUUGCUAACUUUGGAAAUCAAAGUUCCAAUCAUCAAACGAACUUGUGCUAGCAGUUUAGAGGAGGUUGCUCUCAAUACAGAAAUCUAAAAACAUCUUUGAGCAUGGCCUACUUUCAGAAUAUUUUACUGAAAAUUAGUAUUGUUAUGUGAUGAAUAGUAUAAUCAUGGGAAUAAAUCAUAUUAGGCAGUCCUGACUAAGAAGUAUGCAUGCUGGUGGGUGCUUCCAUGUGUUGAUUAGUCAACUAAUUACCAUAUUUAUGUCAUGCAGUAAUUUUAAUGAGGGAUCAGUGCUAUGAGCCCGCAUAUUCCUACGAAAUCAAAAGAACAUGGCGUCGCAUAGUUUAUCAUGUCAUUAACUGGCAGACAGAUUAACAGAAAACCUACAGUAAUGAGUUUUUUUAUGCUCUUUUUUUCUUAUGUAGUUUUUCUUUUUUAGUGGGAAAGAAGGGGCACUGCUGGUAUUUCCUUGUUGAUGCCAAACUUAUUUUUAUUGAUCAUACAGUGAUUGCAGUGUAGUGAAUUGCUUUAGUAUUGGAGACAUAGAUGCCUAUAGCCUGCAAUGCCUGCAAUAUUGACCUUAUAAAUUAUCAAUAUAAUCUACAUGGUGAAGUUUGACUUCCAGGGAUUUUCUGAUGCUUGCCUAUUCUAUUUUCUCUCUUGGUUUGCCUUGAGGCAUGAGCUUCAUAAAAUUUUUACCUCUGAAGUUUCUGUUUUCUGCCACUUAUAAAGAAAUACUACACUUUCCAGAUUCUUUGGGCUUCAUAUCUGUUUGUAACCAGGAUUUUAAAACUCGGUUUGGUCUCCAAGUUAAGCUUUGGUUUUGGUAGUUUCACUCUAAGUUUCAAAGUUUUGGUAAAGUGAAGAAAAAAUCCAUAAAAAAUAAAAAUUAGGAUAAAUAAAAGAAACUGAGGCAAGUUAUUUUACAUCAUUUUAUUAUGUUUUGAGUUAUUUGCAGUGAUAAUUUGUGCAGCUUAGGUAGUUUUAGGCUGAAAAUUCUUGUACCCUCUAAUAAUUUCCCCUCAGAGAUUUUUUUUCACCCUUUUGGAAGUUUGAGGAUUAUAUAUCUUCAAACUACUAAAACAAACCUAUCUAUUCAAUUAGAAACUUAGGAUAGACUGAGGAUAGAGACACUACACACCAGGUAGAAUCCUAUCUCUAAUGUCCUUAAUAGUGACUGCAAGUAGCCCUUUAUUUAUCAAUAAUCACAUGCUAUCAACAAACAAAUGAGUAUAGAUAGAGAUAGAAAAGCAAAAAAAAAAAAAGGCAUUCCGGGUUGUCGAGCCUAACCACCCCUCUUUUUUCUCUUCUUUUUCUGCAGCAUCUAAGCUUUGUUGUAAUGUUUCAAAUUUGAAAUCACAUUUCAUAAAAAAAUUGAGAUCACAUAAAUGUCUUAAUGCCUGAUGAUCGAUGCGGUAAUGAAUAAAUUUGUGUUUGAAUGAAAUUAUUGAUGAAUAAUAUUAAUGAUUAAAUGAUAUUAAUGAGUUUUAUAAAAUAGUAAGCACAUUUACUCUGGCAAUUUGAAAAAAGGAAAAAAAAACAAAAACAGCUGUUUCGGUCAGUUUUGGCUAAAACUGACCAGAACCAACCGAAACCGACCGAAACUGACAGAAACUUGAAACUCUCUUGUAACACAAGCCUUCUAUUCCGUAAAACUGGUCUUACUUUUGUGAACAAUUGGAGAGAUUUUGCUUCAUGUAGAUAGACAUCAAUAAGAAGGUAAGGAAGAGCAUCACAUGUUUUGAAACUGGUUUUGAAUGUUUUGUUUUAGCUCCACCCUAAAGAAGUUUCACUUUCUAAACCUUCUAAAAGUAUGUGCAACAACUCAUUGGGAAUAUUGAAUAAGUUAUCAUCAGCUGAAAUCUUACGAACUUCAGUACUAAGCCUUAACUAAGAGGCUUUACCUGUCUCUCUGGGUCUGGUUUUAUGAUCCUCAUGUAUUGGGUUGUGCUCUGAUCACCAUUAAUGUUUGUGUUCUUUUUUUAGUUUUGUAACUUUUGGGUGAAUUUCAGAUUUCAUUAACUGGAAAAGAGACCUGGAGUCGUCAUCUCUGUUGUAUCUACCCUUGACAUACCUUAGAGGACUUGCAUCCUAAAUUUACCAGAUAAAUUUAGGGAAGGAUGUCUGCUAAACCAUGGAUACUUACAAAUCACAUCCCUUUCACUGUUUUCGCUCCCCUCUAACCAAAAAAAAAAAAACACAAGAACUGCUAAGGGACAAGGGAAAACAGUGCUGCUUUUCCCAGGUCGAUGUUUGGAAUUAUAUCAAUCUAUAGAAAGGAAAGUCACAAAUUAUUGUGCUUGGUUUUUCAAUACUGAAGAUAAAAGGAAGCAUUUUAUGGACAUCUGAACCUGGAAUAUUUAUUCUCCUUUUUUGUUUAACUUCUUGGUUUUCAUAUAUGAUGUUGAUCUAUUAACUCCCUGCUUAUUUCAGGUCCAAGCUCUUGUUGGUUUCGAAAAGACCAUCAAGCAUCUUGAUGAACAUUUAGUGGAAAUUGGCACAAAGGUUUGCAAAUAACCAUGAUCUUGGUCAGCCAUAUGAACUUGUCAAUUUUCCUCCACUUUUUAAAUGAUUUGGUCAAAAUUUGCAGGGAAUCACUAAACCUAAAGAGGUGAGGAAGUUCAAAGGGGAAGGCAUGCCUUUGCACCUAAGUACAAAGAAAGGAGAUUUGUAUGUGACGUAUGAAGUUUUGUUCCCCAAGUCACUAACCGAAGAUCAGAAGACUAGGAUCAAGGCAAUUCUUUCUUAAAGCUGGCGUUCUCUCCAUUGGUACUACUUGGUUCUCCUUUGUACUUUGACUAGGUUUAAUUGGAAGGUGUACAGCCCCUGGAAUUUUCCCAAGUGGCUCCUAUUUGAAUGAUGUCAUUGACUGUAAUCCUUGUUGGCUGCCUGUUUCCAUAGGAUGCUGUCACCUCUUCUCUUUUUUUCCCCCUUUCUUUUUUUUUAAAAUUUUUUUGGGCAAUAGAUGUACUUUAGAAAAGGAAACUGAUUAAUUGGAAUUUGAUCCUGAUCUUUCUCUCCCUUAUCUCAACUAGGGCGAAAGAAAAACAUAUAUUAUAGAAUCAUGCUUGGUUAUGUAAUUCCAUUUCCACGAGACAAUUUAUGUGGACACUGCUCUCAAAAUGUAUCCAAAAUGAUGAAUUAAGAUUUUCCUUGUUAUAUUUUGUUCAUUGUUAUAUUCAUUGUUUGGCUGGUUGAUAAUCUUGUUCUUCCCAUUUAUUCUCUUUUUAUUUCUCUUUGUUGGUCUAAAAAUCCUAUUAGUUAAUGUAGAACAUGCCGUGUCAUCCUUUGUAGUAUGACAUUGAUGGUUUUGCUACAUUAUGAUCUUAUUAUGUCUCCUUUGAGAUGUGGAUAUGUAAGUAGAUUUAGGCUCAAUGCUGAAAGAUCUUAUUGAACUCCUGUUAGCGAUCAGCAUCCAGGUGACAAACCAGUCCCCAAAUCAUGAAAUCAUCUUGAAAAAGGGAUGAGUUAUCUUUGAAGACCACUGAUUUGUUGUUCGCUGGCAGCUCUAAUCUCUAUUGAAUGGUGCCAUAUUGAUAUAUUUUUUGAGAUAGAACCUGAGAUAGAAUCCUGAUCUCCUAGCAUUCAAAGCACUCAAGGGCAAGGGUGCUGAUAUGCGAAGAUGCUUUGGUACAUAUUUUGUAAUCUAUCCACCAGCCGGCUGCUGAUGCCCAACUCGUUCUUGCCAGGGGGAUGGACAAAUUAUCCAACAUUUAACCUGCAUAGCCUGUGUACUGCUGAUUGCUUAUUUAACCCUCUUGCCUGCAUUGCAAGACCAUAUUUAUUAGAGUUGUUUGUAUUAUUUGUUUCUGUUUUUUUUUCCUUUUCCUUCUUAUAGCUGUUUAGGUAAAAUCAAAUAAAUAUAAAGNNNNNNNNNNNNNNNNNNNNUUAUUGUCAUGCAGUAAUUUUAAUGAGGGAUCAGUGCUAUGAGCCCGCAUAUUCCUGCGAAAUCAAAAGAACAUGGCGUUGCAUAGUUUAGCAUGUCAUUAACUGGCAGAUAGAUUAACAGAAAACCUACAGUAAUGAGUUUUUUGAUGCUUCUUUUUUUCUUAUGUAGUUUUUCUUUUUUAGUGGGAAAGAAGGGGCACUGCUGGUAUUUCCUUGUUGAUGCCAAACUUAUUUUUAUUGAUCAUACAGUGAUUGCAGUGUAGUUGCUUUAGUAUUGGAGACAUAGAUGCCUAUAGCCUACAAUGCCUGCAAUAUUGACCUUAUAAAUUAUCAAUAUAAUCUACAUGGUGAAGUUUGACUUCCAGGGAUUUUCUGAUGCUUGCCUAUUCUAUUUUCUCUCUUGGUUUGCCUUGAGGCAUGAGCUUCAUAAAAUUUUUACCUCUGAAGUUUUUGUUUUCUGCCACUUAUAAAGAAAUACUACACUUUCCAGAUUCUUUGGGCUUCAUAUCUGUUUGUAACCAGGAUUUUAAAACUCGGUUUGGUCUCCAAGUUGAGCUUUGGUUUCGGUAGUUUCACUCUAAGUUUCAAAGCUUUGGUAAAGUGAAGAAAAAAUCCAUAAAAAAUAAAAAUUAGGAUAAAUAAAAGAAACUGAGGCAAGUUAUUUUACAUCAUUUUAUUAUGUUUUGAGUUAUUUGCAGUGAUAAUUUGUGCAGCUUAGGUAGUUUUAGGCUGAAAAUUCUUGUACCCUCUAAUAAUUUCCCCUCAGAGAUUUUUUUUCACCCUUUUGGAAGUUUGAGGAUUAUAUAUCUUCAAACUACUAAAACAAACCUAUCUAUUCAAUUAGAAACUUAGGAUAGACUGAGGAUAGAGACACUACACACCAGGUAGAAUCCUAUCUCUAAUGUCCUUAAUAGUGACUGCAAGUAGCCCUUUAUUUAUCAAUAAUCACAUGCUAUCAACAAACAAAUGAGUAUAGAUAGAGAUAGAAAAGCAAAAAAAAAAAAAGGCAUUCCGGGUUGUCGAGCCUAACCACCCCUCUUUUUUCUCUUCUUUUUCUGCAGCAUCUAAGCUUUGUUGUAAUGUUUCAAAUUUGAAAUCACAUUUCAUAAAAAAAUUGAGAUCACAUAAAUGUCUUAAUGCCUGAUGAUCGAUGCGGUAAUGAAUAAAUUUGUGUUUGAAUGAAAUUAUUGAUGAAUAAUAUUAAUGAUUAAAUGAUAUUAAUGAGUUUUAUAAAAUAGUAAGCACAUUUACUCUGGCAAUUUGAAAAAAGGAAAAAAAAACAAAAACAGCUGUUUCGGUCAGUUUUGGCUAAAACUGACCAGAACCAACCGAAACCGACCGAAACUGACAGAAACUUGAAACUCUCUUGUAACACAAGCCUUCUAUUCCGUAAAACUGGUCUUACUUUUGUGAACAAUUGGAGAGAUUUUGCUUCAUGUAGAUAGACAUCAAUAAGAAGGUAAGGAAGAGCAUCACAUGUUUUGAAACUGGUUUUGAAUGUUUUGUUUUAGCUCCACCCUAAAGAAGUUUCACUUUCUAAACCUUCUAAAAGUAUGUGCAACAACUCAUUGGGAAUAUUGAAUAAGUUAUCAUCAGCUGAAAUCUUACGAACUUCAGUACUAAGCCUUAACUAAGAGGCUUUACCUGUCUCUCUGGGUCUGGUUUUAUGAUCCUCAUGUAUUGGGUUGUGCUCUGAUCACCAUUAAUGUUUGUGUUCUUUUUUUAGUUUUGUAACUUUUGGGUGAAUUUCAGAUUUCAUUAACUGGAAAAGAGACCUGGAGUCGUCAUCUCUGUUGUAUCUACCCUUGACAUACCUUAGAGGACUUGCAUCCUAAAUUUACCAGAUAAAUUUAGGGAAGGAUGUCUGCUAAACCAUGGAUACUUACAAAUCACAUCCCUUUCACUGUUUUCGCUCCCCUCUAACCAAAAAAAAAAAAACACAAGAACUGCUAAGGGACAAGGGAAAACAGUGCUGCUUUUCCCAGGUCGAUGUUUGGAAUUAUAUCAAUCUAUAGAAAGGAAAGUCACAAAUUAUUGUGCUUGGUUUUUCAAUACUGAAGAUAAAAGGAAGCAUUUUAUGGACAUCUGAACCUGGAAUAUUUAUUCUCCUUUUUUGUUUAACUUCUUGGUUUUCAUAUAUGAUGUUGAUCUAUUAACUCCCUGCUUAUUUCAGGUCCAAGCUCUUGUUGGUUUCGAAAAGACCAUCAAGCAUCUUGAUGAACAUUUAGUGGAAAUUGGCACAAAGGUUUGCAAAUAACCAUGAUCUUGGUCAGCCAUAUGAACUUGUCAAUUUUCCUCCACUUUUUAAAUGAUUUGGUCAAAAUUUGCAGGGAAUCACUAAACCUAAAGAGGUGAGGAAGUUCAAAGGGGAAGGCAUGCCUUUGCACCUAAGUACAAAGAAAGGAGAUUUGUAUGUGACGUAUGAAGUUUUGUUCCCCAAGUCACUAACCGAAGAUCAGAAGACUAGGAUCAAGGCAAUUCUUUCUUAAAGCUGGCGUUCUCUCCAUUGGUACUACUUGGUUCUCCUUUGUACUUUGACUAGGUUUAAUUGGAAGGUGUACAGCCCCUGGAAUUUUCCCAAGUGGCUCCUAUUUGAAUGAUGUCAUUGACUGUAAUCCUUGUUGGCUGCCUGUUUCCAUAGGAUGCUGUCACCUCUUCUCUUUUUUUCCCCCUUUCUUUUUUUUUAAAAUUUUUUUGGGCAAUAGAUGUACUUUAGAAAAGGAAACUGAUUAAUUGGAAUUUGAUCCU
RNAcentral lists this long non-coding RNA (12381 nucleotides) under Phoenix dactylifera (date palm). Its description in RNAcentral is "long non-coding RNA (PDAC_LNC002959)". The record is from RNAcentral. Lineage: Eukaryota; Viridiplantae; Streptophyta; Magnoliopsida; Arecales; Arecaceae.